RNAcentral lists this non-coding RNA (23 nucleotides) under Cricetulus griseus (Chinese hamster). Lineage: Eukaryota; Metazoa; Chordata; Mammalia; Rodentia; Cricetidae. The record is from RNAcentral.
GGUGAGAAAACUGACUGUUAACC